RNAcentral lists this ribosomal RNA (253 nucleotides) under uncultured bacterium. RNAcentral's name for it is "partial 16S ribosomal RNA". It matches the Rfam family "Bacterial small subunit ribosomal RNA", at positions 524 to 776 of the family's 1533-position model. The record is from RNAcentral.
UACAGAGGACCCAAGCGUUGUUCGGAUUCAUUGGGCGUAAAGGGUGCGUAGGUGGCGCUGUAAGUCGGGGGUGAAAGUUCGGAGCUUAACUCCGAAACUGCAUUCGAUACUGCGGUGCUCGAGGACUGGAGAGGAGACUGGAAUUCAUGGUGUAGCAGUGAAAUGCGUAGAGAUCAUGAGGAAGACCAGUGGCGAAGGCGGGUCUCUGGACAGUUCCUGACACUGAGGCACGAAGGCCAGGGGAGCAAACGGG